GAAGCCCUUCGGGGUGGUUAGUGGCGAACGGGUGAGUAACACGUGGGCAAUCUGCCCUUCACUCCGGGACAAGCCCUGGAAACGGGGUCUAAUACCGGAUAACACCCGCCUCCUCCUGGGGGCGGGUUGAAAGCUCCGGCGGUGAAGAUGAGCCCGCGGCCUAUCAGCUUGUUGGUGGGGUAAUGGCCUACCAAGGCGACGACGGGUAGCCGGCCUGAGAGGGCGACCGGCCACACUGGGACUGAGACACGGCCCAGACUCCUACGGGAGGCAGCAGUGGGGAAUAUUGCACAAUGGGCGCAAGCCUGAUGCAGCGACGCCGCGUGAGGGAUGACGGCCUUCGGGUUGUAAACCUCUUUCAGCAGGGAAGAAGCGCAAGUGACGGUACGUGCAGAAGAAGCGCCGGCUAACUACGUGCCAGCAGCCGCGGUAAUACGUAGGGCGCAAGCGUUGUCCGGAAUUAUUGGGCGUAAAGAGCUCGUAGGCGGCUUGUCACGUCGGGUGUGAAAGACCGGGGCUCAACUCCGGUUCUGCAUUCGAUACGGGCAGGCUAGAGUGUGGUAGGGGAGAUCGGAAUUCCUGGUGUAGCGGUGAAAUGCGCAGAUAUCAGGAGGAACACCGGUGGCGAAGGCGGAUCUCUGGGCCAUUACUGACGCUGAGGAGCGAAAGCGUGGGGAGCGAACAGGAUUAGAUACCCUGGUAGUCCACGCCGUAAACGUUGGGAACUAGGUGUUGGCGACAUUCCACGUCGUCGGUGCCGCAGCUAACGCAUUAAGUUCCCCGCCUGGGGAGUACGGCCGCAAGGCUAAAACUCAAAGGAAUUUGACGGGGGCCCGCACAAGC
This 843-nucleotide ribosomal RNA is filed under the name Streptomyces sp. Lad_20R. RNAcentral describes it as "bacterial SSU rRNA". It matches the Rfam family "Bacterial small subunit ribosomal RNA", at positions 76 to 930 of the family's 1533-position model. The record is from RNAcentral. Lineage: Bacteria; Bacillati; Actinomycetota; Actinomycetes; Kitasatosporales; Streptomycetaceae.